GGGGUGCCCUUCAUCAUCUUGUGAGCAUCUGGGCCAAGUUCAGGGCUGGUGCUCUCGUUCAGAUAGAUUUAGCUGGUGGUGCAGAGAUCCGUGAGCUUGCUUUUACAGGACUUUAAUGAUAUAUAAAAGCAGCACGAGGUGCUCCUGACUGUGGAUUAAUUUGGAGAUGACUUUCUCUGUUGAAGAGUAGCAAGACUCUCGCGAGUUCUUAAAAAUGCACUUGUUUGGUAUGAGAAUGAAAAGCAGUGGCUGAAGAACCAAUCUUCAAUGGGCAAGCCUUCUCUGAACUGGUUGCUGCCUCGUUGAGUCGGUGGGGACAGAAUAGCUCCUGGUUGACAGCAUGGGUUGUGCAGAAGGACGGAUCCUGCAGACAUCAAUAUCUGGCUUUGAGUGGCACAAAGAAAUAAAGGAAUGUGGAUUCAGACCUCACUGGGAUGCUUGGCAAUUCUAAUUCUACCCCAGACUGCAAAUGGACACACAACUGUUGUGACUUUUGUUGAAGAGGAGAAG
This 510-nucleotide long non-coding RNA is filed under the name Homo sapiens (human). RNAcentral describes it as "non-protein coding LINC01727:15". The record is from RNAcentral. Lineage: Eukaryota; Metazoa; Chordata; Mammalia; Primates; Hominidae.